Molecule: ribosomal RNA, 253 nt
Filed under: uncultured bacterium
Lineage: Bacteria
Description: partial 16S ribosomal RNA
Rfam family: Bacterial small subunit ribosomal RNA
Source: RNAcentral
UACGGAGGGAGCUAGCGUUAUUCGGAAUUACUGGGCGUAAAGCGUACGUAGGCGGCUUUGUAAGUAAGAGGUGAAAGCCCGGAGCUCAACUCCGGAACUGCCUUUUAGACUGCAUCGCUUGAAUCCAGGAGAGGUGAGUGGAAUUCCGAGUGUAGAGGUGAAAUUCGUAGAUAUUCGGAAGAACACCAGUGGCGAAGGCGGCUCACUGGCCCGAUACUGACGCUGAGGCACGAAAGCGUGGGGAGCAAACAGG